Molecule: ribosomal RNA, 509 nt
Filed under: uncultured bacterium
Lineage: Bacteria
Description: partial 16S ribosomal RNA
Rfam family: Bacterial small subunit ribosomal RNA
Source: RNAcentral
GACGAACGCUGGCGGCGUGCUUAACACAUGCAAGUCGAACGAAGAGCGAUGGAAGCUUGCUUCUAUCAAUCUUAGUGGCGAACGGGUGAGUAACGCGUAAUCAACCUGCCCUUCAGAGGGGGACAACAGUUGGAAACGACUGCUAAUACCGCAUACGAUCUAAUCUCGGCAUCGAGGAUAGAUGAAAGGUGGCCUCUACAUGUAAGCUAUCACUGAAGGAGGGGAUUGCGUCUGAUUAGCUAGUUGGAGGGGUAACGGCCCACCAAGGCGAUGAUCAGUAGCCGGUCUGAGAGGAUGAACGGCCACAUUGGGACUGAGACACGGCCCAGACUCCUACGGGAGGCAGCAGUGGGGAAUCUUCCGCAAUGGACGAAAGUCUGACGGAGCAACGCCGCGCGAGUGAUGACGGCCUUCGGGUUGUAAAGCUCUGUUAAUCGGGACGAAAGGCCUUCUUGCGAAUAGUGAGAAGGAUUGACGGUACCGGAAUAGAAAGCCACGGCUAACUACGU